CUUGGGUCUGCACACCGGUCCUGUUAGUUUUGCCAACUCUGUUUUCCUUCAUCGGAACUUACAUCUGAGACAAAUAGAAAGCAGCCCAGAGAACAGGAAGGGGAAACGAGUGAGGAGAGCUGAAGUCUUGGUCCUACCGAGAGCUGCCAGGAACUCGUGGCACCCUGGGAGCCGCCAUAGCUGGACACUGAGGGAGACUGGAAUGGGAGUCGAGGCAAAGUCCUGUUCCUUCUCACAGGCCUGCAGCUGAACCAGCACCUGAUGGAGCUGAGGGAGGGACAGAGUCAUGGUGCCAGGGCAGCCUAGAUCCAAGGUGAUGGUGCACCUCUGUCACCCUGGUUGCUCUGUGGUUUUGCCAGAAGCAUAGCUGCUGGUGACAGGAUAUGCUCAGGACCACUCUCAUCAGGACAGGACAAAGCCCAGAUAGGGCCAACAACCAUCACAGACAAGAAGACUGGGUAAGCAGCUUACCCAGCAGGGCCUGGAGAGUGCUACUGCAUUGCUGCAGCCUGUCGCCUGGGUCUGAGGUUGGGAAGAAGACGGCUGCCGGCAGCCCACUGGCCGCAGGGUCCAGCCGGAAGCCCACUGCGGUGAGGAGAGCCUGCCAUCCAGGGAUGCCGCCCACUUUGUUCUCGACGCUCUGCUGAGAUGUAUACAUGGCAUUGCGCUGUCCAUUCUGGAUCCGCUGCAGGGACUUCUCCACCUGGUGGGGAUGGGGCAGUCAGAGACCCAGGGUUUUGAAUUGGGUGCCCAGUGACAGACACUGUCCACUGGUGCUGAGAGCUGUGGCUUCCUUCUGAGGGUGACCUGGAAGGUGGUGGCUGUGCCUCCAGGGACUGAGUAUGAGGGAGAGCCUUGGCACCCAGAGCCUUGCUUCCCGCCCUCCCGUGGCUGCAGAAUGGCAUCUGCUCCCUACCUGCC
This is a long non-coding RNA of Mus caroli (Ryukyu mouse), 921 nucleotides long. RefSeq lists it as uncharacterized. The record is from RefSeq and is a predicted model, not a curated record. NCBI's taxonomy places the organism in Eukaryota, Metazoa, Chordata, Mammalia, Rodentia, Muridae.